RNAcentral lists this transfer RNA (71 nucleotides) under Phenacostethus smithi. Its description in RNAcentral is "tRNA-Asp". It matches the Rfam family "tRNA". Rfam says of the family: Transfer RNA (tRNA) molecules are approximately 80 nucleotides in length. Their secondary structure includes four short double-helical elements and three loops (D, anti-codon, and T loops). The record is from RNAcentral. Lineage: Eukaryota; Metazoa; Chordata; Actinopteri; Atheriniformes; Phallostethidae.
AAGAUACUAGUUAAGCGCAAUAACAUUGCCUUGUCAAGGCAAAAUCGCGGGUUAGACCCCCGCGUAUCUUA